This 354-nucleotide ribosomal RNA is filed under the name Triticum aestivum (bread wheat). RNAcentral describes it as "partial small subunit ribosomal RNA". The record is from RNAcentral. Lineage: Eukaryota; Viridiplantae; Streptophyta; Magnoliopsida; Poales; Poaceae.
AUGAUCGACACGCUCAAGGCGGCGCUUGCAGGGCGGCACUCACGGCCGAGCAGCGAACCCAGCUACCGACCAGAGGGAACCAAGGCCUCAUCAUUCACAUAUCUAGCUCUGACCAGGACAGCAAAGAGCGUGCUGUGGCCAAGAUCAAUUUUCUCAGCCUCACGGGUUUGUGAUCCUCUCCUGCGUGCACCUCAUCCAGCACUGGCUCUACUACUAUGUGGCAUCUGCCUUAUGUUUGCUUCUUGUGUCAGACUAUGUGGACCCCAAGCAGAAGACCGGCAGGGGAGCGGCCGCUCUGUCGAGCAGCAACAAGUCCAUGUAUACCUUGAUGAAUGUCGUGCAAGCGCUGAAUAG